GCUUCGGUGGUGGAUUAGUGGCGAACGGGUGAGUAACACGUGGGCAAUCUGCCCUGCACUCUGGGACAAGCCCUGGAAACGGGGUCUAAUACCGGAUAUGACACGGGGAGGCAUCUUCUCGUGUGGAAAGCUCCGGCGGUGCAGGAUGGGCCCGCGGCCUAUCAGCUUGUUGGUGGGGUGAUGGCCUACCAAGGCGACGACGGGUAGCCGGCCUGAGAGGGCGACCGGCCACACUGGGACUGAGACACGGCCCAAACUCCUACGGGAGGCAGCAGUGGGGAAUAUUGCA
Molecule: ribosomal RNA, 289 nt
Filed under: Streptomyces albus
Lineage: Bacteria; Bacillati; Actinomycetota; Actinomycetes; Kitasatosporales; Streptomycetaceae
Description: partial 16S ribosomal RNA
Rfam family: Bacterial small subunit ribosomal RNA
Source: RNAcentral